Molecule: long non-coding RNA, 651 nt
Filed under: Brachypodium distachyon (stiff brome)
Lineage: Eukaryota; Viridiplantae; Streptophyta; Magnoliopsida; Poales; Poaceae
Description: long non-coding RNA (BDIS_LNC005583)
Source: RNAcentral
AGACGCUUUGUAGAGAACGUUGAAACUCGUGUCUAUGCAUGUAGGGACGUUUUAUUUGACACGUUUCACUCACGUCCCUACUAAUAGUUUGGCACGCUCAAUUUACGUUGCAACAAAUGUAGAGACGCUUUUACAAAUUUGGACUAGCCCAUCUCGUGAGUUAGUAUUGGGUUGGGUUUUUUUUUGAAAGGGUACUGGGUUGGGUUUUAGGCCCACCAUUCUGCCGGCUACAAAUUUGGCCUAGCCCAUCUCGUGAGCUAGUAUUAGGUUGGGUUUUUUUUAAAGGGUACUGGGUUGGGUUUUAGGUCCACCAUUCUGCCAGCCCAACUUACUUUAGAAUUCAUUGCACGGGCCAAGCCCAUUUCCAGAAAAAAAAUAUUUGUGCAGAAUAUUUUAAAUUAGAAAUCUUCUAGGAAAACGUUAUUUUCUGUUUAAAUUUGGAAUUGUUUUUUUCUUAAUUUUGAUGACGCACGUUCGCACAAUAAGUUGUACGAAGACAGGAGUAUAUGAUCUGCAUCUUCGUUUCAUGACCUUGUUCACACUCAGUUGUGCAAAGACAAAGUACAUAAUCUAAAUGUCCAUUUCAUAUAUGACCAUAUUCUCAUGACAAGACUAACAAAUACUAGAGCUUUGAAUUGACUGCAGCAACAA